This 388-nucleotide ribosomal RNA is filed under the name uncultured bacterium. Its description in RNAcentral is "bacterial SSU rRNA". It matches the Rfam family "Bacterial small subunit ribosomal RNA", at positions 28 to 416 of the family's 1533-position model. The record is from RNAcentral.
GACGAACGCUGGCGGCGUGCUUAACACAUGCAAGUCGAGCGGUAAGGCCCUUUCGGGGGUACACGAGCGGCGAACGGGUGAGUAACACGUGGGUGACCUGCCCUUAGCUCUGGGAUAAGCCUGGGAAACUGGGUCUAAUACCGGAUAUGACUCCAUGACGCAUGUUGUGGGGUGGAAAGCCUUGUGCGGCUAGGGAUGGCCCGCGGCCUAUCAGCUUGUUGGUGGGGUGAUGGCCUACCAAGGCGACGACGGGUAGCCGGCCUGAGAGGGCGACCGGCCACACUGGGACUGAGACACGGCCCAGACUCCUACCGGGAGGCAGCAGUGGGGAAGUCUUGCGCAAUGGGCGAAAGCCUGACGCAGCGACGCCGCGUGAGGGAUGACGGCC